GGGCCAUGCUCCUGUCUCCUUCUCCCCCAGCUGAGCGCAGUGGAAGCCGGCGGCUCCACCGCCUUCAUCACCGCUAACAUCAGCGUGCCCGUGGUCAAGAACGCGGCUCUCUUCUGGUGGAACCUGCAUCGGAACGGGGCCGGGGCCGGGGCCACGCUGCACGCUGCCUGCCCAGUGCUGGCUGGGGACAAGUGGGUGGCCAACAAAUGGAUCCAUGAGUACGGGCAGGAAUUCCGGCGGCCCUGCAGCACGGACCCAGAGGAAUGAGGUCACCGUGGGCUCCUGGAUGUGGCACCCAUGGGUG
Neopsephotus bourkii (Bourke's parrot) is the source of this 304-nucleotide long non-coding RNA. RefSeq lists it as uncharacterized. NCBI's taxonomy places the organism in Eukaryota, Metazoa, Chordata, Aves, Psittaciformes, Psittacidae. The transcript is spliced from 3 exons. The record is from RefSeq and is a predicted model, not a curated record.